UAUGUCAUCUUGUGGUUAUUUGAAGUACUGAAGUACUGACAGACCUAUAUCAUCUUGUAAUUGUUUGAAGUACUGACAGACCUAUAUCAUCUUGUAAUUGUUUGAAGUACUGACAGA
Molecule: long non-coding RNA, 117 nt
Organism: Haliotis rubra (blacklip abalone)
Lineage: Eukaryota; Metazoa; Mollusca; Gastropoda; Lepetellida; Haliotidae
Exons: 3
Source: RefSeq, a predicted model, not a curated record